GGGGGGGGGGGGGGGGGGGGGGGAGGGGGGGGGGGCGGGGGGUGGCGGCCGGGGGGGUGGGUGGAUUGGUGGCGAAGGGGUGAGUAACACGGGAGUAACGUGCCCUUGACUGUGGGAUAAGCCUGGGAAACUGGGUCUAAUACUGGAUAUGACUUCUCAUCGCAUGGUGGGGGAUGGAAAGAUGUAUUGGUCUUGGAUGGACUCGCGGCCUCGCAGCUUGUUGGUGAGGUCAUGGCUUAACAAGGCGCCGACGGGGAGCCGGCCUGCGAGGGGUACCGGCCACACUGGGACUGAGACACGGCCCAGACUCCUACGGGAGGCAGCAGUGGGGAAUAUUGCACAAUGGGCGCAAGCCUGAUGCAGCGACGCCGCGUGAGGGAUGACGGCCUUCGGGUUGUAAACCUCUUUCAGUAGGGAAGAAGCGAGAGUGACGGUACCUGCAGAAGAAGCGCCGGCUAACUACGUG
RNAcentral lists this ribosomal RNA (466 nucleotides) under uncultured bacterium. Its description in RNAcentral is "partial 16S ribosomal RNA". It matches the Rfam family "Bacterial small subunit ribosomal RNA", at positions 39 to 507 of the family's 1533-position model. The record is from RNAcentral.